This 262-nucleotide ribosomal RNA is filed under the name uncultured archaeon. RNAcentral describes it as "partial 16S ribosomal RNA". It matches the Rfam family "Archaeal small subunit ribosomal RNA", at positions 748 to 1008 of the family's 1478-position model. The record is from RNAcentral.
UGGCCGUAAACGAUGUGGACUUGGUGUUGGAAUGGCUCCGAGCUGCUCCAGUGCCGAAGGGAAGCUGUUAGGUCCACCGCCUGGGAAGUACGGUCGCAAGACUGAAACUUAAAGGAAUUGGCGGGGGGAGCACCACAACGCGUGGAGCCUGCGGUUUAAUUGGACUCAACGCCGGGAAGCUCACCGGAUAAGACAGCGGAAUGAUUGCCGGGCUGAAGACCCUGCAUGACCAGCUGAGAGGUGGUGCAUGGCGUGUGACUGU